UCCAUAUUCUUCUACUUUCUGGGUCUCCAAAUACCAAAAUUCGAUGCGUCCAACACGUUUAAGGAAUUUCAUCCCCAAAAUAAAUGCAAUUGAUGAACAGUAGCACGGUCUCAACUUCCUCGUAAUAGCCACCGAGGCUUGCUGCAACCUAUGCAGUUUAUAAAUAGGGUCGAGGUCUUGAUGUCACUUAUGCAUUGUAGCAGAAGCAAUAAAAGAAAGCAGUAACGACCCUUUUCAUGGCUUCCUUAAACACAGCUUACCUAUUGGCACUAUUACUCACUGCUUCUCUAUCUCUGCCCUUGGAGAUCACGGCAGCCCGUUUCCCAUCUCCAAAACUUGAGAUUCCUGCACCCCCUAAGAAACUAUCAACUCCAUCCCCAUCACCAUUACCCACCAUCUUUCCUCCACCUCAACCCCACCAAAAAUCUCGACCACCUCCAAAAUCUGACUAUGAAACUCCUCCUCCUCCUCCUCCACCGCCGCAUCGCUCUGGCUCAGAGACACCGGUAAAGAUGUACUAUUUGCCUCCUUUUCCAGCAACCUGAUAAGAUCCUGGAUGAAAGCACAGGGAUGCAAAUAUAUGAGCAUGUCGAUUAAUUAAUAAGCGUUCUUAUUAUACAAGCUAGAAUAAUGAAGGUGAAGGCGGUGGUUCUAUCUGCAAGUAUACUUGCAGGUGCUGACAUGCUGCUGUGAAAAAGUUACAAAAGCACAAGUUGCAAGGGAAGAAGAUCAGAGAAAUAAAGUACUAUGCUUAUUAUAUAGGCUUAUAGCUGUUGUGAACUAAGUUAAAAAAACACAUGGUACGAUUGCUUUUUUUUUGUUUUGUAACACAUGAUACGAUUGUUGUGUAAGCAGUGAAGAAGAGAAAUAAUAAAGAUAUGUUUUAUGCAUGUGCUC
Long non-coding RNA from Carya illinoinensis, 897 nucleotides. RefSeq lists it as uncharacterized. The record is from RefSeq and is a predicted model, not a curated record. NCBI's taxonomy places the organism in Eukaryota, Viridiplantae, Streptophyta, Magnoliopsida, Fagales, Juglandaceae. The transcript is spliced from 2 exons.